RNAcentral lists this ribosomal RNA (500 nucleotides) under uncultured Glomeromycotina. RNAcentral describes it as "partial small subunit ribosomal RNA". It matches the Rfam family "Eukaryotic small subunit ribosomal RNA", at positions 591 to 1092 of the family's 1831-position model. Lineage: Eukaryota; Fungi; Glomeromycota. The record is from RNAcentral.
CCAAUAGCGUAUAUUAAAGUUGUUGCAGUUAAAAAGCUCGUAGUUGAAUUUCGGGACCAAUAUGUCUGUCGUGCCUUCGGUACGUACGGGUAUAAUUGGUUCCUACCUUCUGAUGAACCUUGAUGCCAUUAAUUUGGUGUCUUGGGGACUCAGGACUGUUACCUUGAAAAAAUUAGAGUGUUUAAAGCAGGCAUGCGCUUGAAUACAUUAGCAUGGAAUAAUGAAAUAGGACGUUCGAUUCUAUUUUGUUGGUUUCUAGGAUCGACGUAAUGAUUAAUAGGGAUAGUUGGGGGCAUUAGUAUUCAAUUGUCAGAGGUGAAAUUCUUGGAUUUAUUGAAGAAUAACUACUGCGAAAGCAUUUGCCAAGGAUGUUUUCAUUAAUCAAGAACGAAAGUUAGGGGAUCGAAGACGAUCAGAUACCGUCGUAGUCUUAACCAUAAACUAUGCCGACUAGGGAUCGGAUGAUGUUGAUUUUUUAAUGACUCAUUCGGCGCCUUACG